AGGGACUUAGGAUAACAUUAGACCAAGAACCUUCAAAGCUCUAAGCAGAAGUGAGAACCUUCUAGUCCCUG
Molecule: transfer RNA, 71 nt
Filed under: Sarcocheilichthys variegatus microoculus
Lineage: Eukaryota; Metazoa; Chordata; Actinopteri; Cypriniformes; Gobionidae
Also listed under: 1 other name
Description: tRNA-Trp
Rfam family: tRNA
About the family: Transfer RNA (tRNA) molecules are approximately 80 nucleotides in length.
Source: RNAcentral